RNAcentral lists this ribosomal RNA (384 nucleotides) under uncultured bacterium. Its description in RNAcentral is "bacterial SSU rRNA". It matches the Rfam family "Bacterial small subunit ribosomal RNA", at positions 32 to 425 of the family's 1533-position model. The record is from RNAcentral.
AAUCAACGCUGGCGGCGUGCCUAACACAUGCAAGUCGAACGGGAAAACGGGGGCAACUCCGUGAGUAUAGUGGCGUACGGGUGAGUAACACGUGACUACCUACCUUUGAGUGGGGGAUAACCCCGGGAAACCGGGGCUAAUACCGUAUAACAUCGCAAGAUCAAAGAAGCAAUUCGCUUAAAGAGGGGGUCGCGGCUGAUUAGCUAGUUGGUAGGGUAAUGGCCUACCAAGGCGAUGAUCGGUAGCCGGCCUGAGAGGGCGCACGGCCACACUGGAACUGAAACACGGUCCAGACUCCUACGGGAGGCAGCAGUGGGGAAUUUUGCGCAAUGGGGGAAACCCUGACGCAGCAACGCCGCGUGGAGGAUGAAGUCCCUUGGGACG